This is a non-coding RNA of Bactrocera oleae (olive fruit fly), 759 nucleotides long. The record is from RefSeq and is a predicted model, not a curated record. Lineage: Eukaryota; Metazoa; Arthropoda; Insecta; Diptera; Tephritidae.
CCUUUGAGUUGCAUCAAUGGUGUGAUGAUUGAUUUAUUGUAGGCGAUCAUCGAGAAAUAAAACUGCCUCAAUAGUCUUUCAGUCAAUUGGUGAAAUCAGUCAAACGCAUUUGUUGUUGGAGUGGCGUUGAAGCACUUAGUCACUUUAUUAUUUUUCUGUGAUUUGCCGCCGCCAACACCUACGCGAUCCACGCUGUCGUGAAGUGUUUACAUAUGCCUCAGAGCAAUUUCGGAAGGAGUGAGACGCAAGGGUAAUUGUAUAAAAAAUAUUGUGCGAUAAUUAUGGGGAAAGAGUUUGUCAUGCCGCAUGACUAAUAUAGGAUCAGUGAACUCUGCAGAGGCAGCUAAAUAAUAUACAUAUCUGAUCACAAGGAAUAAAUAGUAAAUAUUUAUGGAACUUCAACAUUAAUAUUUUUAAACAAAACCUUAGCAUAGAGGAGUUCUCAAUGACGGUAGACUUUCAAAAACACUUUUUAUUUCAAAAUUUGCAAUAUGCGGUCAAGGAUGCAUGAAACCAAUUUAUAUACCCCUUGCGAUGUUAACCGUAUUUUAGUGAGGGCAUUCUGCAUGUAUCGGAACAAAUGGUAGUCAGAAGGGUAAGGUCUAGGUUAUAAUUUGGAUGAGACACUACUUCGUAGCCGCUGUUUUCCAAAUAUUGUUGUUUUUACCAGUCUUGAAAAAUGAGUACGAGUAUUUGACAUAUGUUCCAUAAUAUUCGGGUCCCGUGGAAAAAAGGUUACAUGGCAAAGUUGUGGGUAAU